UCUUCGGUCUUCAUCAUCGCUCGCCAAUCUACCCCUCCGCAACUUCAUUUCUCUCUCCCUCUCGUUGUUGCUUCAGCCCGAGAGCUCACUGACCGGCCCACAACAAACGAAGCAGCUUCACGUGUGACGUCCCUUGCGGUUGCCUCGUCCAGUGCGCGUCCACGAAGUCCACCGAAGCCACCGAAGGAGCUGCCCUCGUCCGUUUCCUCUCAACGCGCGUCUCUCUUGGCCCAAGCGAAGCUGCUCCUCCAUCAAGUGUCUUCUGCCAGGCGUCCUCUUCAGUCAACAACCAGAAGCACUGAAGCCUCUUUGUUGACCGAACAACACGUGAAUCUCUCCACCAGCUCAACGCCAGCAAGACCAAAGCCCAUCGUCUUCAUCCAAGUCUCCACGCGUCCCCUGCUGGUCAAACGAAGCUGCCCCUUCUCCCGAUUGUUGACCACCGAAGCUCACGCGGCUUCAAUCCACCGAAUCCCCAUCGCCAGCUCACGUCCAAGUCUUCGGUCAAUAGAAAAUGCCCGCAAGAGCCUGUGUUGACUCCAUCGAUGAGAGUUCUUCAAGCUACGGCUGUCCGCUCCAUCUCUCGGCAACGACGCCAGUUGCAUCUCCACGGACGUCUUCGCCAGCAGCUGCUUCCGUCCAUGCGUCAUCAGCUCGCGUGUCUUCGACCAGUUGAAUCCUCGAAGCCCAGCAGCAAAUCCAGCAACUUUCGUGGACCAUCUGCCAACGAAGCUGAAGCCCGGCAAGCCCACGUGAAUCUUUCUUGUUUAGCCCAGCGAAGCCAGAAAUUUCGUGGCCCAACAGCUGGGCCUGUCUUCAGUCCUUUGGGCCACCGAAUUCAACUCAAGACCAGCAAGCCCAGUUCAGCUUUGUUUCAAGCCCAGUCCAGCAGAUUCUUUUGUUGUUUGGCCCAAGCCCAAGAGCAAGUUCAACCCAAAGUCAAGAACAAAUCUCAGUUGGGCUAAGAUUUGUUGGGCCCAAGUUUAAGGCCCGGUCCAAGCCCGCCGGUGUCGUCGAAAGCCCGAUUUCGGCCACCAUCGCGUUGUUGUUGCGGUGUCCCGGUCCCCGCUUUUAAUCAAGCCUGUAGAUGAGCCUGUGAAGAAGGAAUCAGAAGAGGACGAUGAGCCGGUAAAAGAUGAAGAGCUUGAAGGAUGUGAGCUCAGUGAAGAAGAGUCAGAAGAGGAUCAGGAUGAUCCUGAGUACGACCUGGAUGAGGACUGAGAUCCCAUCAUCUUUUGUGACUCAUGUCUAAAUGUGAAUAGUGUGACUAGAAUGUUAUGAGUAGUCCUGUGAAUAGACUUUGAGUUAUGCCAUGUAUAAAGGUUCGGUUGUGAAUUUCAAUAUGAAAAA
Molecule: long non-coding RNA, 1350 nt
Organism: Eucalyptus grandis
Lineage: Eukaryota; Viridiplantae; Streptophyta; Magnoliopsida; Myrtales; Myrtaceae
Exons: 2
Source: RefSeq, a predicted model, not a curated record